Cygnus olor (mute swan) is the source of this 1381-nucleotide long non-coding RNA. RefSeq lists it as uncharacterized. NCBI's taxonomy places the organism in Eukaryota, Metazoa, Chordata, Aves, Anseriformes, Anatidae. The record is from RefSeq and is a predicted model, not a curated record. The transcript is spliced from 2 exons.
ACCAGAGCCCUCAUCUCCUCUCCUGCUCCUGGUGCUCGCAUAUCCAUUCCCCAGGAUUAAUUCUGCAGAAAAUGAGUAUGGCCUGGGUUCAGGCCCUGCAGCACCUUCUGGUCCCAGCUCAUCCUGGCAGGCAUCUUGCCUCAUUUUCACUGGCUGGCGUUCAGAGGCAGAAAUUGCAAAUCCAGGACAUAUGAAGGGGAAUGGCAUGAAACUGUCACUGCUCUGUUGGAUAGGCAGACUUGUUUGCAAUGGUGUGGGACGGGGCAGAGCAGUGGAUGGGAGCUGUUGAGUCACUUAGAUUCAUUGCUAAGUGGGCUGAAAGACAACAGCUGUGCUGUUCUGCCUGCUGACAAAGCAGAGCCGUUCCUGUUUUAAGCCACCUCUGCUACCCCAGAGUCCUACAGUGACCAUAUAUCCUGCCAUCACCCACCUCCAGCCUUUUCUGAACCAGAACACCAGAUCCUUGUCGAGGUUGGGGACAGGGAAUCUGGAAGGAUGCUCUGUGUUCAUCAGCAAGGACUGAUGGAGACGGGGACAUCUCCCCUGCCCCUCUGCAGCCACCAGCACCUGCCUGGGCUCCGUGCAUCCCGUCACAACCAGAGCCCCCAGGACCGGGGCUGUAGUGAUGCCAUGUGCCCUGCUGUGGGGGUGGGAAGGAAAGGGCAGAAGUGGCGACCAGGUGGCAGUAAGCACAGGGGGGGAUGUGUUAGUGCUCGUUAGUGAGGCUGGAGCUUUUUAACACCACACACAGUCCCACCUGUCCCACCCCAGGUGGUGGUGUUAAAGCAGUGUGUCUCCUAAUGCCUGCUUCUUUUACCUCAUGCAGGUAUUGCUGGAGCCCCCCAGUACCAGUAAGGACGACUGCGGGAAGCUGGUAUCCAGGCUGGUCCAGGGAGGUGUGGAAAUCAGGCCCUCUGGAAAAAGUCCUGCUGGAGACAUAACCAAAUCAGACAACUAGAGGACCGUGACAGAUCAAUAAUGUGACUGAUUAAGAGAAAAGGAAAAUAACAAUUAGCAGUUCAUUUUCACUGUGGCAAAAAAGCUCCAUCUGGUGGUGUUUUCACCCAGAAAAAGAAGGUAAGCUGGGGGGAGAGGAAACUGCAGAUGAUAACACUAGGUUGUUCAGAGUGGUUUGUGCCAGAGAAGAGUCAGGAAAUCUCGAGAUCUGCUCAAGACAGUUGAACAGGUGGCAGGAUGGUAAAUGAAGCUGUGUGUGGAUAAAUGCAAAGAAGUGCACUUGUGAGGGGACAGAUAAACUACGGGGGGGGGGGGGGGCGUUGUCAAGCUGCUCACAGAGCAUCAGCACAGCUGCAAAACCUGGGCACAGACAAUCCACUGCAGGCUUGUGCUGCUCAGCACAUAAGUGUUACAAAGAAAGCAA